AGAGUUUGAUCCUGGCUCAGAUUGAACGCUGGCGGCAGGCCUAACACAUGCAAGUCGAGCGGUAACAGGGGAAGCUUGCUUCCCGCUGACGAGCGGCGGACGGGUGAGUAAUGUAUGGGGAUCUGCCGAAUGGAAUGGGACAACAGUUGGAAACGACUGCUAAUACCGUAUAAUGUCGCGAGACCAAAGUGUGGGACCUUCGGGCCACAUGCCAUUUGAUGAACCCAUAUGGGAUUAGCUAGUAGGUGGGGUAAUGGCUCACCUAGGCGACGAUCUCUAGCUGGUCUGAGAGGAUGACCAGCCACACUGGAACUGAGACACGGUCCAGACUCCUACGGGAGGCAGCAGUGGGGAAUAUUGCACAAUGGGGGAAACCCUGAUGCAGCCAUGCCGCGUGUAUGAAGAAGGCCUUAGGGUUGUAAAGUACUUUCAGUUGGGAGGAAGGCGUUGAUGCUAAUAUCAUCAGCGAUUGACGUUACCAACAGAAGAAGCACCGGCUAACUCCGUGCCAGCCGCCGCGGUAAUUC
This 527-nucleotide ribosomal RNA is filed under the name uncultured bacterium. RNAcentral's name for it is "bacterial SSU rRNA". It matches the Rfam family "Bacterial small subunit ribosomal RNA", at positions 8 to 526 of the family's 1533-position model. The record is from RNAcentral.